UCGCGGCGGUGCGCGCAGAAGGGUCUGGGCUCGAGCCUGCCUGGAGCCGCCGCCGGUGCAGAUCUUGGUGGUAGUAGCAAAUACUCCAGCGAGGCCCUGGAGGACUGAUGUGGAGAAGGGUUUCGUGUGAACAGCCGUUGCACACGAGUCAGUCGAUCCUAAGCCCUAGGAGAAAUCCGAUGCAAACGGCGAUGGGAAAACACUACUCGUGAGUGAGACAGAGACCCAUUGAUCGGGCGAAAGGGAAUCCGGUUCCUAUUCCGGAACCCGGCAGCGGAACCGUUGUUUGUCGGGCCCUCGCAAGGGGUUCGUCAGGGCAACCUAAAAGGGCCCGGAGACGCCGUCGGGGGCCCCGGAAAGAGUUUUCUUUUCUGCAUGAGCGUUCGAGUUCCCUGGAAUCCUCUCGCAGGGAGAUAGGGUUUGGAACGCGAAGAGCACCGCAGUUGCGGCGGUGCACGGGAAUUCCCGACGGACCUUGAAAAUCCGGGAGAGGGCCACGUGGAGGUGUCGCGCCGGCUCGUACCCAUAUCCGCAGNNGGUCUNCAAGGUGAAGAGCCUCUAGUC
Molecule: ribosomal RNA, 564 nt
Filed under: Hadrothemis defecta
Lineage: Eukaryota; Metazoa; Arthropoda; Insecta; Odonata; Libellulidae
Description: eukaryotic LSU rRNA
Rfam family: Eukaryotic large subunit ribosomal RNA
Source: RNAcentral